This 94-nucleotide transfer RNA is filed under the name Candidatus Oleimmundimicrobium sp. RNAcentral's name for it is "tRNA-Ser". It matches the Rfam family "tRNA". Rfam says of the family: Transfer RNA (tRNA) molecules are approximately 80 nucleotides in length. Their secondary structure includes four short double-helical elements and three loops (D, anti-codon, and T loops). Further hydrogen bonds mediate the characteristic L-shaped molecular structure. tRNAs have two regions of fundamental functional importance: the anti-codon, which is responsible for specific mRNA codon recognition, and the 3' end, to which the tRNAs corresponding amino acid is attached (by aminoacyl-tRNA synthetases). tRNAs cope with the degeneracy of the genetic code in two manners: having more than one tRNA (with a specific anti-codon) for a particular amino acid; and 'wobble' base-pairing, i.e. permitting non-standard base-pairing at the 3rd anti-codon position. Lineage: Bacteria; Bacillati; Actinomycetota; Candidatus Aquicultoria; Candidatus Subteraquimicrobiales; Candidatus Oleimmundimicrobiaceae. The record is from RNAcentral.
GGAGAGGUCGCAUAGUCUGGCCGAGUGCGGCGGUCUCGAAAACCGUUUCCCGCCUUACGGUGGGACGAGGGUUCGAAUCCCUCCCUCUCCGCCA